Long non-coding RNA from Diceros bicornis minor, 795 nucleotides. RefSeq lists it as uncharacterized. The record is from RefSeq and is a predicted model, not a curated record. The transcript is spliced from 4 exons. Lineage: Eukaryota; Metazoa; Chordata; Mammalia; Perissodactyla; Rhinocerotidae.
AGAAACAUAUCAUCUUGGAAUAAAAAUAGUUUUACUUUCAUUCUCUGUAUUAGUUAUGUAUUGCCUCAAUAAUGUUGUAUAGAAAGCUACCAUAAAACUCCCUGGACUAAUAAUUAUUUAGACUGUCAGUAUGAAAAUCAGAGAUUUAGGCUUGUUUUCUUUUCUAGUCUUUGCUGAAUUAGCUCACAUGUCUGGAGUUGGCUAGCUGUUUGCUGAGGUGGGUGGGCUAUUAGCUGAUGUGCUGCGGCUCAGCUCCAGGUUUCUCACAGCCAUCUAGCAGAAGAACUUGGGCAAGUUCUCAUGGGAAAGUAGAGGUGCACAGGAAAACGAGUCCAAUUGUGUAAGCAACGUUCAAACUCCUUGCUUGUGUCUUGUUUGUUAACAGCUCACUGGCCAAAGCAUAUCAGAUGGCUGAUCGUAGUGUUUGGGACUGGGUAUAAUCCCUUGCCCAGAGUGGACGAGAACUUGAAAGUUACAUGCAAAAUGUACAGAUAUGGGGAGGGGUGAAGAAUUUGAGCCAUUAAGGCUAAAGCAGAAGCUACGACAAGAUGUGGAAAGCCACGAAAGCAUUCAAAGGAAAGGAGAAGGAACCAAUAAAGAAGAAGACGAAUAGAACGGAGGACAAGAGGCAGGAGGCAUGAUUUCUAUCUGAAAAGUGAAUACAUCAGAAAAGUAUAAAGAAGAGAAUGAUCAACUAUCAACUCAAAUCCUACCAUCUAGAAAAAAAUCUCAUUUUACAUUUUAGCAAAUUUCUUUCCAAGCAUUUUUCAAUAUUUGUUUAUAUAAUUGGUAACA